This 484-nucleotide ribosomal RNA is filed under the name uncultured bacterium. RNAcentral's name for it is "partial 16S ribosomal RNA". It matches the Rfam family "Bacterial small subunit ribosomal RNA", at positions 30 to 507 of the family's 1533-position model. The record is from RNAcentral.
AUUGAACGCUGGCGGCAGGCCUAACACAUGCAAGUCGAGCGGAUGAAGGGAGCUUGCUCCUGGAUUCAGCGGCGGACGGGUGAGUAAUGCCUAGGAAUCUGCCUGGUAGUGGGGGAUAACGUCCGGAAACGGGCGCUAAUACCGCAUACGUCCUGAGGGAGAAAGUGGGGGAUCUUCGGACCUCACGCUAUCAGAUGAGCCUAGGUCGGAUUAGCUAGUUGGUGGGGUAAAGGCCUACCAAGGCGACGAUCCGUAACUGGUCUGAGAGGAUGAUCAGUCACACUGGAACUGAGACACGGUCCAGACUCCUACGGGAGGCAGCAGUGGGGAAUAUUGGACAAUGGGCGAAAGCCUGAUCCAGCCAUGCCGCGUGUGUGAAGAAGGUCUUCGGAUUGUAAAGCACUUUAAGUUGGGAGGGAGGGCAGUAAGUUAAUACCUUGCUGUUUUAACGUUACCAACAGAAUAAGCACCGGCUAACUUCGUG